RNAcentral lists this ribosomal RNA (941 nucleotides) under Escherichia coli. RNAcentral describes it as "partial 23S ribosomal RNA". It matches the Rfam family "Bacterial large subunit ribosomal RNA", at positions 1 to 983 of the family's 2925-position model. Lineage: Bacteria; Pseudomonadati; Pseudomonadota; Gammaproteobacteria; Enterobacterales; Enterobacteriaceae. The record is from RNAcentral.
GGUUAAGCGACUAAGCGUACACGGUGGAUGCCCUGGCAGUCAGAGGCGAUGAAGGACGUGCUAAUCUGCGAUAAGCGUCGGUAAGGUGAUAUGAACCGUUAUAACCGGCGAUUUCCGAAUGGGGAAACCCAGUGUGAUUCGUCACACUAUCAUUAACUGAAUCCAUAGGUUAAUGAGGCGAACCGGGGGAACUGAAACAUCUAAGUACCCCGAGGAAAAGAAAUCAACCGAGAUUCCCCCAGUAGCGGCGAGCGAACGGGGAGCAGCCCAGAGCCUGAAUCAGUGUGUGUGUUAGUGGAAGCGUCUGGAAAGGCGCGCGAUACAGGGUGACAGCCCCGUACACAAAAAUGCACAUACUGUGAGCUCGAUGAGUAGGGCGGGACACGUGGUAUCCUGUCUGAAUAUGGGGGGACCAUCCUCCAAGGCUAAAUACUCCUGACUGACCGAUAGUGAACCAGUACCGUGAGGGAAAGGCGAAAAGAACCCCGGCGAGGGGAGUGAAAAAGAACCUGAAACCGUGUACGUACAAGCAGUGGGAGCCUCUUUAUGGGGUGACUGCGUACCUUUUGUAUAAUGGGUCAGCGACUUAUAUUCUGUAGCAAGGUUAACCGAAUAGGGGAGCCGAAGGGAAACCGAGUCUUAACUGGGCGUUAAGUUGCAGGGUAUAGACCCGAAACCCGGUGAUCUAGCCAUGGGCAGGUUGAAGGUUGGGUAACACUAACUGGAGGACCGAACCGACUAAUGUUGAAAAAUUAGCGGAUGACUUGUGGCUGGGGGUGAAAGGCCAAUCAAACCGGGAGAUAGCUGGUUCUCCCCGAAAGCUAUUUAGGUAGCGCCUCGUGAAUUCAUCUCCGGGGGUAGAGCACUGUUUCGGCAAGGGGGUCAUCCCGACUUACCAACCCGAUGCAAACUGCGAAUACCGGAGAAUGUUAUCACGGGAG